Molecule: RNA transcript, 1271 nt
Organism: Branchiostoma floridae (Florida lancelet)
Lineage: Eukaryota; Metazoa; Chordata; Leptocardii; Amphioxiformes; Branchiostomatidae
Exons: 3
Source: RefSeq, a predicted model, not a curated record
CAUGUGAGUCAAAAAGAAUAAGCGACGUUUAUCUUGCAACAAAAGAGAUAUUUUGCCAACAACUGUAUGCAUAAUUUAGAUUGUAUUUAAUAUUGUGUAAUAAAUUGGUCAAUAUUAAAGGAACGCCGCCAACCGUGACACUUAUUUUCAACAAAAUAUAAAGUUGACCCCCUAUCACCAUGUCGGAAGAUGGUUUCAGCUUCGAACUUUGGAACCUGUCAACACGAACCAUUUUCAAACGAGCCAUAGUAAGGAAGAUACUCUCAUUUUGCAGAAGAACUUCUUUACUUCAACUUUUAGCGAUAACGUCAAAGAAUCUUGACGUUAUUUUCCUCAAGAUAUCUUACUUAUUAACGUCCAAAGGGUUUUGAGGCUCUGCUGUCGUGAUUCUUCGUCAGAAGUUCCGAGCAAGGAGAAAUGCCAAGGCGUAGAAGUAAAACUAACAAAUCGAUCCAGAGAUUGACUUCAUGGAAGCUGGAGCAGGAAAGGAAGGCUGAUGAGCAGGGCAUAGAGGUAGCAGAACAAGAGCCAGCUGUAGAGCAGGGAGUAGAAGGAGCAGGACAGGAGCUGGCUGAUGAGCAGGAGUGUGAGGUAACAGGGGAGUGGCAGGGUGAAGAGUUCAUGUUCAACCCAUUCACAGCAAAUGAUCAAUUGCUGCUGGCAGUUUAUUGGAACCAGAUCAAACCAUGGAGAAGUUCCUGUCUGGUGAGUGUCAUCCUGAGGGCCCUCCAGCAAAUCUUGGUACGUGGGCCACGCAGGUUGAAAUAGAGGCAAUGUCCUUACUACUGGGAAGAUGCAUCUUUGUGUACGGUAAGCAUGGCAACGAUUGGGCAUGGAUGAAGUACCCAUUAAGGGAAAGUACUUGUGAUAGAAUGUUAGACGGUAGUAAUGCAUUGUACAUACAAAAUACAAACCUUGACCACUUUGAUGUAGUAACAACAGUUUUGAGACGUAGACAGACAAGGAGUAUGUCCCGGUGCCACAGAGAAGAAGCUACAGAGGUCUCACAAGUUCCCAGUAGCAACAGCAAGCACACACUAAUCGACAACGAUGAUGAUGAGGACCGGAAAAGGGCCAGACGGGAUCGAGAAAGGAAGCGAUACCAUGAGGAUCCCCAGUAUGCCCGGGCCCAACGGGAUCAAAAGAGGACCAAGUAUCACACUGGCGAUGAGCAUGCACAGCAGAAGCGAGACCAUGAAAGAGAUAAAUAUCACUCAGAUCCAAAUCAUAGAGACUUAAAAAUAAGAAACGUGCAGAUUAACAGAGAAAAG